AGUAAAAGUCGUAACAAGGUUUCCGUAGGUGAACCUGCGGAAGGAUCAUUGUUGAAUAGUUCGUGGUGCUGUGCUGGCCUUUCGGGGCAUGUGCACGCAUUGCAAUUAUUUCAUUAUCUUUUUGUGAACCAGUGUAGGCUUGGUUGGAUCUAGUUGUGCUUCGGCGCAUUUGGUGAAGCCCAAGUCUAUGAUUUAUAUAAACCUUUGAAUGUCUUUGAAUGUCUUCUUUAUUGGCCGCAAGGCUAGUAAAAACUAUACAACUUUCAGCAACGGAUCUCUUGGCUCUCCCAUCGAUGAAGAACGCAGCGAAAUGCGAUAAGUAAUGUGAAUUGCAGAAUUCAGUGAAUCAUCGAAUCUUUGAACGCACCUUGCGCCCUUUGGUAUUCCGAAGGGCAUGCUUGUUUGAGUGUCAUUAAAUUCUCAAAACCUUUGGAUUUGUUUUCAAAGGCUUUUGGAUGUGAGGGUUUGCUGGCUUCCUUUAGUGGCGGUCUGCUCCCUUUAAAUGCAUUAGUGGAUUCCUUUGUGGACGAGUCACUUGGUGUGAUAAUCUAUCUACGCCUUAUCUCUCUGAAGCAAAACCUAUGGGAGCCCGCUCAUAACCGUCUUGUAACGAGACAACUUUUGACCAUUUGACCUCAAAUCAAGUAGGACUACCCGCUGAACUUAAGCAUAUCAAUAAGCGGAGGA
Molecule: ribosomal RNA, 687 nt
Filed under: uncultured fungus
Lineage: Eukaryota; Fungi
Description: eukaryotic LSU rRNA
Rfam family: 5.8S ribosomal RNA (bases 259-412)
Source: RNAcentral